RNAcentral lists this ribosomal RNA (265 nucleotides) under uncultured bacterium. Its description in RNAcentral is "partial 16S ribosomal RNA". It matches the Rfam family "Bacterial small subunit ribosomal RNA", at positions 793 to 1055 of the family's 1533-position model. The record is from RNAcentral.
GUCCACGCCCUAAACGAUGUCAACUAGUUGUUCGGUGAGGAGACUCAUUGAGUAACGCAGCUAACGCGUGAAGUUGACCGCCUGGGGAGUACGGCCGCAAGGUUAAACUCAAAGGAAUUGACGGGGACCCGCACAAGCGGUGGAUGAUGUGGAUUAAUUCGAUGCAACGCGAAAAACCUUACCUACCCUUGACAUGCCAGGAACUUACCAGAGAUGGUUUGGUGCUCGAAAGAGAGCCUGGACACAGGUGCUGCAUGGCUGUCGU